CAUAUUCAUUCCUCUGUCCAUUUAUUCAUUUAACUAAUAUAUUAAAAGAUUUAUGUUUAAGGAAUGAUAUUAGGUAUUGUGAAAAGUUAAAUUUAACUAGCUAGUACUUAUUUCCAUUCAGUUCAACAAACAACCAAUAGAUGUUCAAUGUGCUCCAGGCAAAGUGUGAGGUGCUGCAGAUCCAACAUAAAUAAGCAGUUCCUGACCCUGGACCUGGGCAGGGAUGGGGACCCUCAUGGAACCAAUGUGACGUAGCAUGAGACGCACUGCUCUCAUAAAACACAGAACAGCAGAGAUGGAGAAAAUUCUAUUAAAGGGCAGAAGUAAAGAUCCCAAAGCGUUUCAGAGAUAAGAUACCAUGUGAGGUGGAUCCUGAAGAAUGAGUAGAAUUUUGCCCAGGGGAAUAGGCAAGGGUAAGAGGAGCAUGCUAGGCCGAGGAAGCUGUCCCAGGAAAGGCACAGAGACACAAGAUCAGGAUACACUUGGGUCCAAGGAGUAGUUGGUGUGAUCUGCCUGUGGGGUACCUGCCCAGAAGAAACCAACUGAACAUGAAGCCAAAACAAGCAGGUGCCAUAUUGAGAGGAACUGUAAAUGUUUUUUCCAAGAGUCCGACUUGGUACUAUGAGCCAGGUCUGGAACCCACUGCAGUGAAGAUUGCUAGAAGGACUUUCAGUAAAGGAAAGUCAUUAUCGUAGUUGGACUCUGGGCAGGCCCAAGACUAGAGUGAGGGGAGUGAGGCAGCUACAGAGCAAAAUUUAUAGAGACUUUCACUCUCAGCAUUUGCAGGAUCCUGAGAGUAAUGCUGCCUUAAAUUUCAUGCCUUUGUCACUUCAUCACCACACCCUAAUCCCAGCCCUGACUCAAGGGACAGUGGUGAGGCUUUGUGGUGGCAGGGAGGGCUGAUAUCAGAACAGGCCAGUGGGAAGUCAGGACAGCAGUCUAGGUGAGAGGGGAUUGAGGCCUCAGGGAUGAAGAAAAGAUCAGAGUGACCCUUCCAAAGUAGCACCCACAAGACUGGGCAGACCUAGGGCAGCAGCCCAGGAGGAUGCUGAGGUUGUCUGGCUUGGGACUGAAGCAUGAGUGCUGGGCACUGACAUAGCAGACAUGAAG
RNAcentral lists this long non-coding RNA (1110 nucleotides) under Sus scrofa (pig). RNAcentral's name for it is "lncRNA (ENSSSCG00050055668.1)". Lineage: Eukaryota; Metazoa; Chordata; Mammalia; Artiodactyla; Suidae. The record is from RNAcentral.